CCCAGGGCAGAGUUCUGAAACCAAAAUUUUCUUCUGAAGGAAGAAGGCAAACAUGGUAUUUUCCAGGCUGCUGAAGCUGAUCAUGGCAUCAAUGUGGCUGGGAUCCAGUUUUGCCCAGAAGGUGACUCAGGCCCAGCCAGCCAUGUGGGUGCAGGAGAAGGAGGAUGUGAGCCUGCUCUGCUCCUAUGAUGCAAGUGAUACACGUUAUGGUCUCCUCUGGUACAAGCAGCCCAGCAGUGGGGAGAUGGUCUUCCUCAUCCUUCAGAACUCUUACAGCCAGCAAAAUGCCACAGAAGGUCGCUACUCAGUGAAUUUGCAGAAGGCAAGCAAAUCCAUCCAGCUUGUCAUCUCAGCCUCACAGCUGGGGGACUCAGGGGUGUAUUUCUGUGCACUGAGAGAGGGCACAGAGUCUUAUUGA
Molecule: non-coding RNA, 418 nt
Organism: Marmota monax (woodchuck)
Lineage: Eukaryota; Metazoa; Chordata; Mammalia; Rodentia; Sciuridae
Source: the annotation of a RefSeq genome assembly